This 500-nucleotide ribosomal RNA is filed under the name uncultured bacterium. RNAcentral describes it as "partial 16S ribosomal RNA". It matches the Rfam family "Bacterial small subunit ribosomal RNA", at positions 30 to 523 of the family's 1533-position model. The record is from RNAcentral.
AUUGAACGCUGGCGGCAUGCCUUACACAUGCAAGUCGAACGGCAGCACGGGAGCAAUCCUGGUGGCGAGUGGCGAGCGGGUGAGUAAAGUAUCGGAACGCGCCCAGUCGUGGGGGAUAACGUAGCGAAAGUUACGCUAAUACCGCAUACGAUCUAUGGAUGAAAGCGGGGGAUCGCAAGACCUCGCGCGAUUGGAGCGGCCGAUAUCAGAUUAGGUAGUUGGUGGGGUAAAGGCUCACCAAGCCGACGAUCUGUAGCUGGUCUGAGAGGACGACCAGCCACACUGGGACUGAGACACGGCCCAGACUCCUACGGGAGGCAGCAGUGGGGAAUUUUGGACAAUGGGCGCAAGCCUGAUCCAGCCAUGCCGCGUGCAGGAUGAAGGCCUUCGGGUUGUAAACUGCUUUUGUACGGAACGAAAAGGUUUGACUUAAUACGUUGGACUCAUGACGGUACCGUAAGAAUAAGCACCGGCUAACUACGUGCCAGCAGCCGCGGUAA